This 463-nucleotide ribosomal RNA is filed under the name uncultured bacterium. RNAcentral describes it as "partial 16S ribosomal RNA". It matches the Rfam family "Bacterial small subunit ribosomal RNA", at positions 28 to 507 of the family's 1533-position model. The record is from RNAcentral.
GACGAACGCUGGCGGCGUGCUUAACACAUGCAAGUCGAACGGAAAGGCCCUGCUUUGGUGCGGAGGUCGAGUGGCGAACGGGUGAGUAACACGUGGGUAACCUGCCCCUGACCGUGGGAUAACUUCAGGAAACUGGGGCUAAUACCGGAUAGGAGCUCCUGCUGCAUGGUGGGGGCUGGAAAGUUUCGGUGGUUGGGGAUGGACCCGCGGCUCAUUAGCUAGAUGGUAGGGUAGUGGCCUAGCAAGGCGACGACCCGUAGCUGGUGUGAGAGGAUGAGCAGCCACACUGGGACUGAGACACGGCCCAGACUCCGACGGGAGGCAGCAGUGGGGAAUAUUGGACAAUGGGCGAAAGCCUGAUCCAGCAAUGCCGCGUGAGUGAUGAAGGCCUUAGGGUUGUAAAGCUCUUUUACCCGGGAUGAUAAUGACAGUACCGGGAGAAUAAGCGCCGGCUAACUCCGUG